GACGAACGCUGGCGGCGUGCUUAACACAUGCAAGUCGAACGGAAAGGCCCUGCUUUUGUGGGGUGCUCGAGUGGCGAACGGGUGAGUAACACGUGAGUAACCUGCUCUUGACUUUGGGAUAACUUCAGGAAACUGGGGUUAAUACCGGAUAGGAGCUCCUGCUGCAUGGUGGGGGUUGGAAAGUUUCGGCGGUUGGGGAUGGACUCGCGGCUUAUCAGCUUGUUGGUGGGGUAGUGGCUUACCAAGGCUUUGACGGGUAGCCGGCCUGAGAGGGUGACCGGCCACAUUGGGACUGAGAUACGGCCCAGACUCCUACGGGAGGCAGCAGUGGGGAAUAUUGCACAAUGGGCGGAAGCCUGAUGCAGCAACGCCGCGUGCGGGAUGACGGCCUUCGGGUUGUAAACCGCUUUCGCCUGUGACGAAGCGUGAGUGACGGUAAUGGGUAAAGAAGCACCGGCUAACUACGUG
Molecule: ribosomal RNA, 468 nt
Filed under: uncultured bacterium
Lineage: Bacteria
Description: partial 16S ribosomal RNA
Rfam family: Bacterial small subunit ribosomal RNA
Source: RNAcentral